Molecule: long non-coding RNA, 369 nt
Organism: Haliotis rubra (blacklip abalone)
Lineage: Eukaryota; Metazoa; Mollusca; Gastropoda; Lepetellida; Haliotidae
Exons: 3
Source: RefSeq, a predicted model, not a curated record
UUAUUAUGUUUAGGAUUCACAAAAUAUGCUGGAUCUAGAGUAUGGUCUCAUUCUGGAUUAUUGUUUAUCACAUGACCCUAAUUCCUAGCUUUUAAUUGGCUAAUUUCAAAUUCCCAUAAUUCCCAAGCACCAAUAUGAGCACCCCAGUAGAAACACUUUAGCACAGCACAGCACCCAGGCAACAAGGCAACAAGGUCUACUACACAGCAUCAAACAGGUCACAUAUGUAUCAGCUCAACACGGAUUAAUCCGUAAGGCUCUAUUCCACAAAUGGGGCUUGAAGUAUGAUAUAUAGUAUCUGAAUAAACCGCACCUCACCCCUACAGCGAGUCAUGUGAUCCUUUGACAUUACUUGGCGUUUAACCAGCU